This 301-nucleotide ribosomal RNA is filed under the name uncultured bacterium. Its description in RNAcentral is "partial 16S ribosomal RNA". It matches the Rfam family "Bacterial small subunit ribosomal RNA", at positions 509 to 807 of the family's 1533-position model. The record is from RNAcentral.
CAGCAGCCGCGGUAAUACGAAGGGGGCUAGCGUUGUUCGGAUUUACUGGGCGUAAAGCGCACGUAGGCGGAUCGAUCAGUCAGGGGUGAAAUCCCAGAGCUCAACUCUGGAACUGCCUUUGAUACUGUCGAUCUGGAGUAUGGAAGAGGUGAGUGGAAUUCCGAGUGUAGAGGUGAAAUUCGUAGAUAUUCGGAGGAACACCAGUGGCGAAGGCGGCUCACUGGUCCAUUACUGACGCUGAGGUGCGAAAGCGUGGGGAGCAAACAGGAUUAGAGACCCCGGUAGUCCCUGUCUCUUAUAC